UCCAUCACUUUGUCCAUCGUAACAAGUUCAAAUACUCCAAACUAAAGUCACAUACAUCCAAACUAACUCCAACAUGUUCAAUAACCACAUUCCACAAAGUUCACAUGUUUAAACAAAAUAAAUCCAUCACCACAUAGUCCACAUACUCCAAACUAACUGCAUCUCAAGCUAAGUCGACCUGACUCACUGUGAAGGCCCCCAAUUGAUACGAGGGACACCUUGGCCGCGUACCGCAGGAGAGCCAUCAUCUGGAGGUGUCGGCGAGAUGAGAUGGCAGGUGUUGGAGAAAUGCCAGGUGCCGCGUUUGAACCCGCUGACGGAGGCUGCACAAAGGACAACAUAGUUUAUUAGACAAGAUGACGGCAAUAACUAGUUUAGGACUUACUUGUGUCAUUGAGUUUCCUCACAGGAGUAUUAAUAGGAGUAGUAAAUACAUGAGAGGGUGGCCGUGGAGCCAGUAACGUAGCUGGAAGGGCUACACCCGUUUGGGCCCCAACCGACUGUAGGAACGCUAUCAUAUCUGCCAUCUGUUGCUGAUGGGCAAGCUGGUCGGCCUCUCGCUGGCGCUCUUGAGCCUCCAACCGCUCAGCCAUCCUUUGCUGCUCGGCCCUUGAUGCUUCGAGCUCAGCCUACAACAUUGGAAAUCAAAUGUUAGAGUAAUGCAAAGGUAACAAAAGCAACGCGAAGUAGAACUAUUGAAAAAUGAUGAACAACCUGGAGUGCGUCGACCCAGUGC
This 736-nucleotide long non-coding RNA is filed under the name Sorghum bicolor (sorghum). Its description in RNAcentral is "long non-coding RNA (SBIC_LNC011537)". The record is from RNAcentral. Lineage: Eukaryota; Viridiplantae; Streptophyta; Magnoliopsida; Poales; Poaceae.